CCUCAGAUUACCCUGAAUUCUGAUGUGUGCUUGACAGUCAUUAGAGCUCUAGCACCAUUUGAAUUCAGUUCAUCUGAAG
Trichuris suis (pig whipworm) is the source of this 79-nucleotide non-coding RNA. The record is from Rfam. Lineage: Eukaryota; Metazoa; Nematoda; Enoplea; Trichinellida; Trichuridae.